AGGAUUAUAAUUAGAGAGUCAGAUUGGGAUUUUUACUUGGAUAUGUUGGCUGAAAAAAUAAAAGCAAAAAGACUAAGGAGGAUAAAAUAAGAUGAGAAAGGAAUGUGUUUUUCCAUUCACAUCUUAAGUAAAACAAUGAGUCUUAAUAUAGAUUGUACAGAUAACUAACAAACCAAAAUACAUGGAAUAAGAUACGCUAGAUAUGCAGAUACCUUAAUAGCCACUGACAAGGAACAAACAUUGAAGAAAAUCUAUUGCAUACGCAAAUAAAUGAGAACUAACUUAUAUGCAGAUAAAUCUGCUGCGUAUGCAUAUUUCAAAUUUAUAGUAACUAAUUUUGACCCAUUUACUUGGGUGAUUGAUUUUGAAUCAUUCUCAACAUGCUCUUUUGAUUCAGAAUCAUAUAUGCCUAAUUACUGUUGAAAAUAAUCAUGUUUUAGCUGAGACAAAGACUUCGUAAAUAAAUCAGUAACUUGAUCAUUUGUGCCAUAAAAUUCCAGCACUAUUUCUCAAUUUGCUAUUAGUCUUCAAAUGAAAUGAUUUUUAUGCUUCGUUAUAUCAUGAAAAGCUGGAUUUUUUU
Molecule: long non-coding RNA, 580 nt
Filed under: Carica papaya (papaya)
Lineage: Eukaryota; Viridiplantae; Streptophyta; Magnoliopsida; Brassicales; Caricaceae
Description: long non-coding RNA (CPAP_LNC015735)
Source: RNAcentral